GAACCCUGACGGAGCAACGCCGCGUGCGGGAGGACGGCCUGUGGGUUGUAAACCGCUUUUCUCAGGGAAGAAGUUCUGACGGUACCUGAGGAAUCAGCAUCGGCUAACUCCGUGCCAGCAGCCGCGGUAAUACGGAGGAUGCAAGCGUUAUCCGGAAUUAUUGGGCGUAAAGCGUCCGUAGGCGGUGAGUUAAGUCUGCUGUCAAAGCCUGCAGCUCAACUGUGGAGUGGCAGUGGAAACUGAUUGACUAUAGUGCGAUAGGGGUAGAGGGAAUUCCCAGAUGUAGCGGUGAAAUGCGUAGAUAUAGGGAAGAACACCAGUGGCGAAGGCGCUCUACUGGGUCGCAUCUGACGCUGAGGGACGAAAGCUAGGGGAGCG
Molecule: ribosomal RNA, 378 nt
Filed under: uncultured cyanobacterium
Lineage: Bacteria; Bacillati; Cyanobacteriota
Description: bacterial SSU rRNA
Rfam family: Bacterial small subunit ribosomal RNA
Source: RNAcentral